Molecule: ribosomal RNA, 483 nt
Filed under: uncultured bacterium
Lineage: Bacteria
Description: bacterial SSU rRNA
Rfam family: Bacterial small subunit ribosomal RNA
Source: RNAcentral
AAUGAACGUUGGCGGCGUGGAUUAGGCAUGCAAGUCGAGCGAGAAGUUUAAGAAAGAUACUUCGGUUGAUUUCUUGGACGGACAGCGGCGAAAGGGAGAGUAACGAGUAGAUACGUACCCAGGGGUUCGGGAUAGCCAUGCGAAAGCGUGAGUAAUACCGAAUAAUGUCUCCGGACCAAAGAUUUAUUGCCCUUGGAGCGGUUUGCUUACUAUUAGCUUGUUGGUGGGGUAAAGGNCUACCAAGGCAAAGAUGGUUAGCGGGUGUGAGAGCAUGGCCCGUCUCACUGGGACUGAGACACUGCCCAGACACCUACGGGUGGCUGCAGUCGAGAAUCUUCCACAAUGGACGAAAGUCUGACGGAGCGACGCCGCGUGCUGGAUGAAGGCCCUCGGGUUGUAAGCAGCUGUCGUAGGGGAGGAAAUUUUGACCGAUCCUAGGAGGAAGCACAGGCUAAGUUCGUGCCAGCAGCCGCGGUAAUACGA